AGCGCUGCGGCUGGAGGCGCGGCUGGUUCUCUGCCUGCUGUCCAGUUCCACCUUGGCUUGUGCAACCACCCUGGAUCUGCGAACUCUGUGCAGCUGCUCCGUCCACCAUAUCUUGCGGCGGCGAGCGCUAAGAAUUCAUGCUACGACACUCGAUUCAGCCAGGAGGUGACACCAAAUGUGAUCAGAAGCCAUGCCCAUGGUGAAGAGGUAUACUGAACCCGGCCUGGCCCAGUGAGGUUACUAGAGAAUUGGGAAAGGCUUAAAUAAGUAUCCUGCACAUGGUUAUCAAAUCAUUGUAAAGUCUUGAAAAUCAUCUGGAAUGCUUGUUAAAAAUGCAGAUUUCUGGGCAGCCAGAAACCUUGCACUAGUCAAGAGCAACACUAAGACCCACCUGUCAUUUAUAUUGAGGCUUCCUGCCCGGUGGGUUCAUCAGCAAGCCAGAAUGAAUCACCAUUGCUGUGUGUGGAUCCUUGUGAGGCAGCUGGGAAGUCUUGGCUAAAUUGUGAAGGAUGUCUUUUGAAAAGUGUUCUAGAGAGUCUACUGGUUUUCCCACAUGAGUGAACGUGUAGCAGAAGAGAGGAUCCUCUCAGUGAUUAAGGCGACCUUAGAAACAACUUGUUGAGUUCUCACCAUGAAUACCAUUGGAAUUGCAGUUGGAAUGGCAUUAAACACGUAGAUUAAUUUUUGGAGAGCGAUCAUCUUUAUAAUCUUCUCCUACAUGAAUGUGUUUCUCCUCUGCUGCCUUUUGAGCUGCCAGGCACUGUGCUGGGUGAUGGGGAUAUGAAGACGAAUUAGACACAGUUCCUGCCCUCAGGAGUUCUCAGUCUAGUGAGAGAGUUCGACAUGUACACAGAUAAUUACAACAUAUGGUAUGCUCUACAAUGGAGAUGUUGCAUGCCUGCUGCUGCUGCUGCUGCUACUACUACUACAGUUGCUGCUGAUUGCUCCUUGGGUAGGACCAAAGUGAUCAUUGAUCAGAAACUUCAUCCUCACAGUCUGGGGGUUGCUCCUGUGGCUGGUAUUCACAGUUUCCCCUUUCAACUUUACCUCAGCUAUCCCCUUACCUACAGUGACAGGAGGAUCUGGUAGAAGACUUCGUGUGAGGAAGAAGAAAAAGAAAGAAGCAGAGAAUCACUACAGCAUGUCUUCAUAUCAGCUUCACAAAGCACGACUCAACAGAGGGCUUACUCUCUUGAGACUCCAGACCACAGGCCAUCUGUAACAGCCUUUCAUCUGGAAGGAGCCUUGUGAAUGAGUGAAUGAAACUUCAGUGUUCAGCUGCAAUACAAGUCCAGUGCUUGAAGAAGCAAAGAGGGCAACAAGCCUCCAGGGGACAACAGUGUGGUCUUCUAAGUGAAGAUAGCAACAGAAGAGAUCACGGACUUGGCUGGAUUGGGCUGGGCUUGUUUGUUUGUUCAAAAUUUUAAAAAUACUUUUUUUCUUGGGGCGCCUGGGUGGCGCAGUCGGUUAAGCGUCCGACUUCAGUCAGGUC
Molecule: non-coding RNA, 1492 nt
Organism: Puma concolor (puma)
Lineage: Eukaryota; Metazoa; Chordata; Mammalia; Carnivora; Felidae
Source: RefSeq, a predicted model, not a curated record